CUUAGUAUGAACUGCUCCUCCAUGCUACAAAACAAACCAAUCAUAUCAAUUUAUACUUCACUAAAUCAUCCCAAUAAAAUUCUUCUCCUCAGCAAUCCAUACACACAUCAAAGUUCAAGCGCUGGCUACAACAAGAUAUUAAAAGUCUACAAAUCUCUGCUCCUCAGCAAGUCUCUGUUUAUGGGUAUAGGAGAUUCUUCCAAAAUCAGAAUUAACGUCAAUCAAUGAGCAUACAAGACAUAUCCAAUAAACUAAAAAAAGGGUAUUGUGCAAAUUAGAAGAAAAUCUAAAAUCCCAAUACCAAUCCAAUAACCAUUCAUGCUAACAUUCAUAGCUAUAUAAAAACAAUUAAAAUACCUUUAAAACCCAUGAGAGAGAGAG
RNAcentral lists this unclassified non-coding RNA (381 nucleotides) under Hevea brasiliensis (rubber tree). Lineage: Eukaryota; Viridiplantae; Streptophyta; Magnoliopsida; Malpighiales; Euphorbiaceae. The record is from RNAcentral.